This 694-nucleotide ribosomal RNA is filed under the name uncultured bacterium. RNAcentral describes it as "bacterial SSU rRNA". It matches the Rfam family "Bacterial small subunit ribosomal RNA", at positions 32 to 715 of the family's 1533-position model. The record is from RNAcentral.
AACGCUAGCUACAGGCUUAACACAUGCAAGUCGAGGGGCAGCAUGGUCUUAGCUUGCUAAGGCCGAUGGCGACCGGCGCACGGGUGAGUAACACGUAUCCAACCUGCCGUCUACUCUUGGACAGCCUUCUGAAAGGAAGAUUAAUACAAGAUGGCAUCAUGAGUCCGCAUGUUCACAUGAUUAAAGGUAUUCCGGUAGACGAUGGGGAUGCGUUCCAUUAGAUAGUAGGCGGGGUAACGGCCCACCUAGUCUUCGAUGGAUAGGGGUUCUGAGAGGAAGGUCCCCCACAUUGGAACUGAGACACGGUCCAAACUCCUACGGGAGGCAGCAGUGAGGAAUAUUGGUCAAUGGGCGAGAGCCUGAACCAGCCAAGUAGCGUGAAGGAUGACUGCCCUAUGGGUUGUAAACUUCUUUUAUAAAGGAAUAAAGUCGGGUAUGGAUACCCGUUUGCAUGUACUUUAUGAAUAAGGAUCGGCUAACUCCGUGCCAGCAGCCGCGGUAAUACGGAGGAUCCGAGCGUUAUCUGGAUUUAUUGGGUUUAAAGGGAGCGUAGAUGGAUGUUUAAGUCAGUUGUGAAAGUUUGCGGCUCAACCGUAAAAUUGCAGUUGAUACUGGAUAUCUUGAGUGCAGUUGAGGCAGGCGGAAUUCGUGGUGUAGCGGUGAAAUGCUUAGAUAUCACGAAGAACUCCGAUUG